Molecule: ribosomal RNA, 468 nt
Filed under: uncultured bacterium
Lineage: Bacteria
Description: partial 16S ribosomal RNA
Rfam family: Bacterial small subunit ribosomal RNA
Source: RNAcentral
GACGAACGCUGGCGGCGUGCUUAACACAUGCAAGUCGAACGGAAAGGCCCUGCUUUUGUGGGGUGCUCGAGUGGCGAACGGGUGAGUAACACGUGAGUAACCUGCCCUUGACUUUGGGAUAACUUCAGGAAACUGGGGCUAAUACCGGAUAGGAGCUCCUGCUGCAUGGUGGGGGUUGGAAAGUUUCGGCGGUUGGGGAUGGACUCGCGGCUUAUCAGCUUGUUGGUUGGGUAGUGGCUUACCAAGGCUUUGACGGGUAGCCGGCCUGAGAGGGUGACCGGCCACAUUGGUACUGAGAUACGGACCAGACUCCUACGGGAGGCAGCAGUGGGGAAUAUUGCACAAUGGGCGGAAGCCUGAUGCAGCAACGCCGCGUGCGGGAUGACGGCCUUCGGGGUGUAAACCGCUUUCGCCUGUGACGAAGCGUGAGUGACGGUAAUGGGUAAAGAAGCACCGGCUAACUACGUG